This is a long non-coding RNA of Cyprinus carpio (common carp), 1238 nucleotides long. RefSeq lists it as uncharacterized. Lineage: Eukaryota; Metazoa; Chordata; Actinopteri; Cypriniformes; Cyprinidae. The record is from RefSeq and is a predicted model, not a curated record. The transcript has 3 exons.
AGUGUGUGCAUAUUUUGGAGCAAUAAAGAGUACGGCGGAAAGAAAGGGAAGCGUGAAAAGAGCGCAAGAGUAAAACUGGGCGCCCCGAAAUCCUUUCUCGUUAUUGUUUUGUAAAAGUUUGUCAUUGUGAAUCUGAGGUCAGGCAUAACCGACUGCUGCACAAUAGCGUCAACGCUUUGUGAGCACAUAAAAUAGAACGUUCCAGCCAGUCAAAAGCUCUGUUGUUGUUACGUUCUCUAUUAGGCUACUCAAGUUUAAAGUCAUAAAAAUAUGUGACAUUUACAUGAAGCUCUAUUAUUACGAACGUUUUCGGAUUUGCACUAUUCGUCUUGACAGUCAUUUGAUCUCAUGAAAGCCACUGCUCAUGAUUACCAAGCGUGAUACAUAUGCAUCUUAUGCUUUAGACUCCUACUGCAGCUCGAACAUCUAUAUUAAUGUAUUUCAGAUCAAUAUUCAGAAAAGCUCACAAGGAGAGGAAAUGCUCUGUCUCCUUUACCCCCCUCGUUCGUUUUGUUCUGUAUAGACUAAAAUAAUGACUGACCCAGAUGCUAAUAAUAUCGGUGAAAGGACUCAGCGAGUCUCAAUGGGGAGGAAAUGACAUGGUCAUGUCAUUCAUACAACAUCACACCAGUGCCAUUCUAUGACACGAAGCCUCUGACAAACAUUUCGAUUUCAUCUAUGAGACCACCAGAACAAACCGACUGAGUAGCUUCAAAAGUUCGCUGUGUAAAUGAGCGGGUUGAAGAAGGAGUUGGAGUAACCCAGCCAGAGGAAGACACUCUUCCAUAUUGGUGGAAUGUGGCAGGAGCACAGCGGGGUGAUGAGCUCGGUGAGGAAGAAAGGAAUCCAGCAGAGGACAAACACUCCGAUGAGGAUGCCGACCAUCAGAGCUGCUCGCUUCUCUUUCUGCUCUCGCCACGUCUCACUGUCGGUCUGGAAUGUCACUGUGGCAUGGCGUACCGUGAACACCAUCUGAGGCUGUUGUCUAGAGGCCUCUUUCACCUGAGGGCACAGAUGCGUCUUGAGCAUUACUGCUUAGACGAACAGCACAACACAAAGAGGCAGAUAGAAGGCCCCGAAUGUGGAAAAGAUGGUGUAAGACGGCUCCUGGCUCACCUGGCACUCCAUGUCCUCCUCUGAAUACGUCUCACCCCAGCCAAACAGAGGGGAGAGGGAAAUAACAGAUGAGAGCAGCCAGGUCAAACCAAUCAUCACAUUGGAGAUCUUCUUUCGGGUCU